ACGCGAAGAACCUUACCCAGGCUUGAACAGCGAGUGACCAUCGAUGAAAGUCGACUUCCGCAAGGACACUCGUAGAGGUGCUGCAUGGCUGUCGUCAGCUCGUGUCGUGAGAUGUUGGGUUAAGUCCCGCAACGAGCGCAACCCUUGUUUGCUGUUGCCAUCAGGUUAAGCUGGGCACUCUGCAAAGACUGCCGGUGAUAAACCGGAGGAAGGUGGGGAUGACGUCAAGUCAGCAUGGCCUUUAUGUCUGGGGCUACACACGUGCUACAAUGGCCGAUACAAACCGUCGCGAGCCCGCAAGGGGGAGCUAAUCGGAGAAAGUCGGUCUCAGUUCGGAUCGUCGGCUGCAACUCGCCGGCGUGAAGUUGGAAUCGCUAGUAAUCGCGGAUCAGCACGCCGCGGUGAAUACGUUCCCGGGCCUUGUA
Molecule: ribosomal RNA, 425 nt
Filed under: uncultured Acidobacterium sp.
Lineage: Bacteria; Pseudomonadati; Acidobacteriota; Terriglobia; Terriglobales; Acidobacteriaceae
Description: bacterial SSU rRNA
Rfam family: Bacterial small subunit ribosomal RNA
Source: RNAcentral